This 877-nucleotide long non-coding RNA is filed under the name Gossypium barbadense (sea-island cotton). RNAcentral describes it as "long non-coding RNA (GBAR_LNC019960)". Lineage: Eukaryota; Viridiplantae; Streptophyta; Magnoliopsida; Malvales; Malvaceae. The record is from RNAcentral.
CUUCAAUUAGUACACAUUAAUUUGUCCUAGGUUAAGAUAAGCAUUCAAUUUGUUUAUAUUCAGCCGAAUUUAUUAUAUAUGUAAUUAAGUUGUUUGAAUCAUUACAUGUCUUAAAUGUGUCCUAAUGUGGCUGCCAAAUUUAUUAAGCCUUGUUGACCAUGUGACUGUCGAAUUUAUUAUGUCUUAUUGACCCCUUUUAAUUUGUCUUAAAACAAGAGUUAAUGGCUGACUUAAAUGGGUGCAGGUACAUGGAUGGCAAUUAAAGAGAAAGGUUGCUGCUGCAUUUUUCCAAGCUGCCGAAUUUAAUGUGUGCAUGGGACUUGGGACGGCAUUUAAAGAGAAGGUUGCUGCUGCCUUUUUCCAAGCUGCCAAAUUUAAUGUGUGCAUGGGACUUGGGACGACAUUAAAAGAGGAGGCUGCUGUUGCAUUUUUCUAAGCUGAUUAUUCAGCUCACCAAUGCACCUUUAAAGCUCCACCGGCCGAAAUUGUUCAUUUCAUACACAAAGCCCUUUCAUUUUCGUGUGUUCACAUACAAGGGCUGAUCAUUUCCUUCAGUUCACAGUUAAUAAUGGUUGGAGAAACCGAGCUAACCUUUGAGAAGUCCAAGCUAUUUAGCUGAUCAAUGAGCCACAAUUAAAGCAAAGUUCACUCCCUUGGCCGAAUCUACAUGCACCAUUCAGCUACCAAGGCCUCCAAUUUACUCCAACUGAAUUUCAAGGCAUUUAGAAGCUGAAUUUUGACCUCCCAAAUGCACCAGGAAGCAACCUGGAAUUUUCAACUUAAUUAAGUGAAUUUAAAGAUGGAAUUUCAGCCAAGUAUUUUGUCCAUUCGGCUAGCCCCUAUUUGGCUAUAAAUAUCAAGUUCAAAACAUGUACAA